CAGUCGCCGCGGGAAUACGAAGGGGGCUAGCGUUGCUCGGAAUGACUGGGCGUAAAGGGCGCGUAGGCGGCGAUCAAAGUCAGGCGUGAAAUUCCUGGGCUCAACCUGGGGGCUGCGUUUGAUACUUGGUUGCUAGAGUGAGGAAGAGGGUCGUGGAAUUCCCAGUGUAGAGGUGAAAUUCGUAGAUAUUGGGAAGAACACCGGUGGCGAAGGCGGCGACCUGGUCCUUGACUGACGCCGAUGCACGAAAGCUAGGGGAGCAAACAGGAUUAGAUACCCGCGUAGUCCCUGUCUCUUAUAC
Molecule: ribosomal RNA, 301 nt
Filed under: uncultured bacterium
Lineage: Bacteria
Description: partial 16S ribosomal RNA
Rfam family: Bacterial small subunit ribosomal RNA
Source: RNAcentral